This 497-nucleotide ribosomal RNA is filed under the name uncultured bacterium. Its description in RNAcentral is "partial 16S ribosomal RNA". It matches the Rfam family "Bacterial small subunit ribosomal RNA", at positions 28 to 507 of the family's 1533-position model. The record is from RNAcentral.
GAUGAACGCUGGCGGCGUGCCUAAUACAUGCAAGUCGAGCGAACGGACGAGAAGCUUGCUUCUCUGAUGUUAGCGGCGGACGGGUGAGUAACACGUGGAUAACCUACCUAUAAGACUGGGAUAACUUCGGGAAACCGUAGCUAAUACCGGAUAAUAUUUUGAACCGCAUGGUUCAAAAGUGAAAGACGGUCUUGCUGUCACUUAUAGAUGGAUCCGCGCUGCAUUAGCUAGUUGGUAAGGUAACGGCUUACCAAGGCAACGAUGCAUAGCCGACCUGAGAGGGUGAUCGGCCACACGGGAACUGAGACACGGUCCAGACUCCUACGGGAGGCAGCAGUAGGGAAUCUUCCGCAAUGGGCGAAAGCCGGACGGAGCAACGCCGCGGGAGUGAUGAAGGUCUUCGGAUCGUAAAACUCUGUUAUUAGGGAAGAACAAAUGUGUAAGUAACUAUGCACGUCUUGACGGUACCUAAUCAGAAAGCCACGGCUAACUACGUG